ACGGGUGAGUAACGCGUAGACAACCUACCCUUUAGAUGGGGACAACACCGCGAAAGUGGUGCUAAUACCGAAUAUUGCUUGAGAAGCGCAUGCUUUUCAAACUAAAGAUGGCCUCUAUUUAUAAGCUAUCGCUAAAGAAUGGGUCUGCGUCUGAUUAGCUAGUUGGUGAGAUAAAAGCUCACCAAGGCAACGAUCAGUAGCCGGUCUGAGAGGAUGAACGGCCACACUGGGACUGAGACACGGCCCAGACUCCUACGGGAGGCAGCAGUGGGGAAUCUUCCGCAAUGGACGAAAGUCUGACGGAGCAACGCCGCGUGAGUGAUGAAGGUUUUCGGAUCGUAAAACUCUGUUGUUAAGGACGAAUGUAUAGAUUGUGAAUAAUGGUUUAUAAUGACGGUACUUAACGAGGAAGCCACGGCUAACUACGUGCCAGCAGCCGCGGUAAUACGUAGGUGGCGAGCGUUGUCCGGAAUUAUUGGGCGUAAAGGGAGCGCAGGUGGGAAUGUAAGUCAAUCUUAAAAGUGCGGGGCUCAACCCCGUGAUGGGAUAGAAACUACAUUUCUUGAGUGCAGGAGAGGAAAGUGGAAUU
This 589-nucleotide ribosomal RNA is filed under the name uncultured bacterium. RNAcentral's name for it is "bacterial SSU rRNA". It matches the Rfam family "Bacterial small subunit ribosomal RNA", at positions 102 to 668 of the family's 1533-position model. The record is from RNAcentral.